This 801-nucleotide ribosomal RNA is filed under the name uncultured bacterium. RNAcentral's name for it is "bacterial SSU rRNA". It matches the Rfam family "Bacterial small subunit ribosomal RNA", at positions 8 to 807 of the family's 1533-position model. The record is from RNAcentral.
AGAGUUUGAUCAUGGCUCAGGAUGAACGCUGGCGGCGUGCCUAACACAUGCAAGUCGAGCGCGAUUAAUUGGACCGGAGACUUCGGUCAAAGGGAAGAUUAUGAAAGCGGCGGACGGGUGAGUAACGCGUGAGCAACCUGCCCUGUACAGGGGGAUAGCCACUGGAAACGGUGAUUAAUACCCCAUAAACCCAAAGGACCGCAUGGUCCAAUGGGCAAAGUUCCAACGGUACAGGAUGGGCUCGCGUCUGAUUAGCUAGUUGGUGAGGUAACGGCUCACCAAGGCGACGAUCAGUAGCCGACCUGAGAGGGUGAACGGCCACACUGGAACUGAGACACGGUCCAGACUCCUACGGGAGGCAGCAGUGGGGAAUAUUGCACAAUGGGCGCAAGCCUGAUGCAGCAACGCCGCGUGAGUGAUGAAGGCCUUCGGGUCGUAAAACUCUGUCCUAAGGGAAGAAGAAGUGACGGUACCUUAGGAGGAAGCCCCGGCUAACUACGUGCCAGCAGCCGCGGUAAUACGUAGGGGGCAAGCGUUAUCCGGAAUCACUGGGCGUAAAGGGUGCGUAGGCGGCUGAUCAAGCCAGGGGUGAAAGGCAAUAGCUUAACUAUUGUAAGCCUUUGGAACUGGUCAGCUUGAGUGCAGGAGAGGAAAGCGGAAUUCCUAGUGUAGCGGUGAAAUGCGUAGAUAUUAGGAGGAACACCCGUGGCGAAGGCGGCUUUCUGGACUGUAACUGACGCUGAGGCACGAAAGCGUGGGGAGCAAACAGGAUUAGAUACCCUGGUAGUCCACGCUGUAAAC